AUUGAACGCUGGCGGCAUGCUUUACACAUGCAAGUCGAACGGCAGCACAGGGAGCUUGCUCCCGGGUGGCGAGUGGCGCACGGGUGAGUAAUACAUCGGAACGUGUCCUGUUGUGGGGGAUAACUGCUCGAAAGGGUGGCUAAUACCGCAUGAGACCUGAGGGUGAAAGCGGGGGAUCGCAAGACCUCGCGCAAUUGGAGCGGCCGAUGCCCGAUUAGCUAGUUGGUGAGGUAAAGGCUCACCAAGGCGACGAUCGGUAGCUGGUCUGAGAGGACGACCAGCCACACUGGGACUGAGACACGGCCCAGACUCCUACGGGAGGCAGCAGUGGGGAAUUUUGGACAAUGGGGGCAACCCUGAUCCAGCCAUGCCGCGUGCAGGAUGAAGGCCUUCGGGUUGUAAACUGCUUUGUCAGGGACGAAAGGACCGUGUUAAUACCAUGGUCUGCUGACGGUACCUGAAGAAUAAGCACCGGCUAACUACGUG
Molecule: ribosomal RNA, 486 nt
Filed under: uncultured bacterium
Lineage: Bacteria
Description: bacterial SSU rRNA
Rfam family: Bacterial small subunit ribosomal RNA
Source: RNAcentral